UGCAGUUCGAACGAUUAAACUCCCUUUCGGGGGAGAUAUAAAGUGGCGCACGGCCUGAGAUAACACGAUAGAGUUAAUUUGCCUUCGGGUGGGGAAUAACAGUCGGAAACGACUGCUAAUACCGCAUAAUGCAGCGGCAUCUAUGAUGACAGUUGUUAAAGCGGGGGAUCGCAAGACCUCGCGCCUGAAGAGAAGCCUGCGGCAGAUUAGCUAGUUGGUAAGGUAAUGGCUUACCAAGGCGACGAUCUGUAACCGGCCUGAGAAGGCGGUCGGUCACACUGACACUGAAUAACGGGUCAGACUCCUACGGGAGGCAGCAGUCGGGAAUUUUGGGCAAUGGGCGAAAGCCUGACCCAGCAACGCCGCGUGAAGGAUGAAGCAUUUCGGUGUGUAAACUUCACAAGAUUGGGAAGAAUAAGAAAGGGCGAAUAUCCUUUUCGAUGACGGUACCAUUUGUAAGCUCCGGCUAACUUCGUGCCAGCAGCCGCGGUAAUACGAGGGGAGCAAGCGUUGUUCGGAUUUACUGGGCGUAAAGGGCGCGUAGGCGGCGCGACAAGUCAGUUGUGAAAUCUCUGAGCUUAACUCAGAACGGUCAACUGAUACUGUCGUGCUAGAGUGUAGAANGGGCAACUGGAAUUCUUGGUGUAGCGGUGAAAAUGCGUANAUAUCAAGAGGAACACCUGCGGCGAAAGCGGGUUGCUGGGCUAACACUGACGCUGANGCGCGAAAGCUAGGGGAGC
This 740-nucleotide ribosomal RNA is filed under the name uncultured bacterium. RNAcentral's name for it is "bacterial SSU rRNA". It matches the Rfam family "Bacterial small subunit ribosomal RNA", at positions 56 to 769 of the family's 1533-position model. The record is from RNAcentral.